Molecule: ribosomal RNA, 644 nt
Filed under: uncultured bacterium
Lineage: Bacteria
Description: bacterial SSU rRNA
Rfam family: Bacterial small subunit ribosomal RNA
Source: RNAcentral
CGCCCUAAACGAUGUCUACUAGUUGUUGGUGGAGUAAAUCCAUGAGUAACGCAGCUAACGCGUGAAGUAGACCGCCUGGGAGUACGGUUGCAAGAUUAAAACUCAAAUGAAUUGACGGGGGCCCGCACAAGCGGUGGAUUAUGUGGAUUAAUUCGAUGCAACGCGAAAAACCUUACCUGGCCUUGACAUGUAACGAACUUUCCCAGAGAUGGAUUGGUGCUCGAAAGAGAACGUUAACACAGGUGCUGCAUGGCUGUCGUCAGCUCGUGUCGUGAGAUGUUGGGUUAAGUCCCGCAACGAGCGCAACCCUUGCCAUUAAUUGCCAUCAUUUAGUUGGGCACUUUAAUGGGACUGCCGGUGACAAACCGGAGGAAGGUGGGGAUGACGUCAAGUCCUCAUGGCCCUUAUGGCCAGGGCUUCACACGUAAUACAAUGGUCGGUACAGAGGGUCGCCAACCCGCAAGGGGGAGCCAAUCCCAGAAAGCCGAUCGUAGUCCGGAUUGAGGUCUGCAACUCGACCUCAUGAAGUCGGAAUCGCUAGUAAUCGCGGAUCAGCAUGUCGCGGUGAAUACGUUCCCGGGCCUUGUACACACCGCCCGUCACACCAUGGGAGUGGGUUUACCAGAAGUAGGUAGUCUUACUCG